GGAAAUUCUCCUUUUAAUCUUUUAGGUAAUAUGAAGGUGGCCUUGUCCUUGUUCAGCUUUCCAUUAAUGGCGGAGCUCUUAUUGGUUUUGACAUUCAUUUAUUAACGUCUCUGAUACAUUAAUUAAUAUGAAGCAUCCCUAUAUGUGCUUCUCAGCAAGUGGGUUUGAGCUGAGCUCUUGACGAAUCAAUUUUGAUAGUGAUGCCACCACUGUGUUUGUGUCCUUAAAAAUCAAACAAAAGAGAUGAACCCUUCUGGGUUUCUUGGGCAGUGACUGUCGUGGAUGUUGGCGUCAUUCUUCCUUGCAAAUUCCAAAUUUUACCCUUUUAUCAUUUCAUAUCAUUCUGAUUUGCUUUUCUUAAUUUCCUUUUUCUCUCCAUCACUAAGCAAAUCCCUCUCUCUACAAUCCACAUUCUCAAUGAUCUGACUUGACCUUACGUGUGGGUUAGGUUAGGGUGUGAAGACAAUCUCAAAAACAGCCUUUAAGGGCUUCCCCUUAUCAAUUCUUCUGUCUUCUGUGAAACGAAUGUCGGUUCUUCUGCAUGUAACAGUCUAUGUGUUCGAGGAAAUGCCUCAAAGAGGCUGAUCACCACUUACCAUUGUGAGGCUAAUAUUUUUCAACAGCCCAUACGAAUUUGACUGUUCCCAAAUCCCAGUAUUUCCUCCACGCGUGGUCCGUGAAGAAAUAAAAGCGCGAGAUUUUUGCUGAACUUGCAAAGAAAGGGAGGAGGAUGGGCAUGCUGUCAGCUUGUGGGUGCUAGCAACAUGCACCAAUGGGGAGUGCGGGAUAAGAGGGGCAUGGAGUCUUUUCCAAGGAAGUUGGGGAGAGAGACGGACACAAGGUUGGACACAUCAACAGCGUACUGAGCCUUUUCCCCAAAUGUGAAUACUAGUAUUUCCAAUAGACAUGUCUGAAAUUCCAUGUGGAAACUUAGAUACAUCUGAAAUUCAAAUUGUUCAUGUGAACAAAAUUAUUAGGUUGUGUCACUAGACUCACUACUAGAGUGAGACUAGCAAAAUUUUUAACCUUGAUGCUGGUUGUGUAUUUUUGGCAUUGAAAAUUGAUUGACAUUUGUUUCUCUUC
This is a long non-coding RNA of Macadamia integrifolia, 1083 nucleotides long. RefSeq lists it as uncharacterized. The transcript is spliced from 2 exons. The record is from RefSeq and is a predicted model, not a curated record. NCBI's taxonomy places the organism in Eukaryota, Viridiplantae, Streptophyta, Magnoliopsida, Proteales, Proteaceae.